RNAcentral lists this ribosomal RNA (434 nucleotides) under uncultured Clostridium sp. Its description in RNAcentral is "partial 16S ribosomal RNA". It matches the Rfam family "Bacterial small subunit ribosomal RNA", at positions 341 to 792 of the family's 1533-position model. Lineage: Bacteria; Bacillati; Bacillota; Clostridia; Eubacteriales; Clostridiaceae. The record is from RNAcentral.
ACGGAAGGCAGCAGUGGGGAAUAUUGGACAGUGGGGGAAACCCUGAUCCAGCGACGCCGCGUGAGUGAAGAAGUAUUUCGGUAUGUAAAGCUCUAUCAGCAGGGAAGAUAAUGACGGUACCUGACUAAGAAGCCCCGGCUAACUACGUGCCAGCAGCCGCGGUAAUACGUAGGGGGCAAGCGUUAUCCGGAUUUACUGGGUGUAAAGGGAGCGUAGACGGCAUGGCAAGUCUGAUGUGAAAACCCGGGGCUCAACCCCGGGACUGCAUUGGAAACUGUCAGGCUUGAGUGCAGGAGAGGUAAGUGGAAUUCCUAGUGUAGCGGUGAAAUGCGUAGAUAUUAGGAGGAACACCAGUGGCGAAGGCGGCUUACUGGACUGUAACUGACGUUGAGGCUCGAAAGCGUGGGGAGCGAACAGGAUUAGAUACCCUGGUA